UUGGAGUAUAGCCAAGUGGAAAGGCUUCGGUUUUUGAUACCGACAGGCAAAGGUUCGAAUCCUUUUACUCCAGA
RNAcentral lists this transfer RNA (74 nucleotides) under Pohlia nutans. RNAcentral describes it as "tRNA-Gln". It matches the Rfam family "tRNA". From Rfam's summary of the family: Transfer RNA (tRNA) molecules are approximately 80 nucleotides in length. Their secondary structure includes four short double-helical elements and three loops (D, anti-codon, and T loops). Lineage: Eukaryota; Viridiplantae; Streptophyta; Bryopsida; Bryales; Mniaceae. The record is from RNAcentral.